RNA transcript from Pan troglodytes (chimpanzee), 2171 nucleotides. It is a transcript of the gene named small integral membrane protein 7, with no coding region annotated. NCBI's taxonomy places the organism in Eukaryota, Metazoa, Chordata, Mammalia, Primates, Hominidae. The record is from RefSeq and is a predicted model, not a curated record. The transcript is spliced from 8 exons.
GGUGGGGACGCCCAGCACCGCGGACGGAGCUGGACGGUCGGGCGUCCCAGGCGUUGACCCUCCUGCCAUCGCUACCCCGUUCCGCCCAGCGAGGCGGGGUGCGGGGCACCCGUGCAAGGCGAGGGAGGCUGGGGAGCUGCCCGUUCUGGGGGCCCGUCCCUCACGGAGCCCACCCACGCGGGACGCCCGUUCCCAGGGGGCCGGAUCAGCCAGGACUUUGUCCCCGUGGGCUCAAUUAGGACCCGGAUCUUCGGUGGAGCCCAGUGAGGACCCCUACGCCAUGGUGGGACCCCAUGAAUCAGAACCCCUGCUCCCCGUGGAGAUAGGUUAGGACCUCGGUCCUCUGUGGAGCCCCGUCAAGACUUUUCUGCCCCAUAGGGUCCGUUCGAUCAGGAACCCCGUCUCCGGUGGGGCUCUGCAAAUCAGGACGUCCUGUGGGGGGCAGCUCAGUGGGAACCCCCGUUCCCCAUGGGGCCCUGGAGGAUCUCAUUUUAGAGCCCAGUUGGUUGGGGCACCCGUUUCUAGGGACCUCACUGCGUCAGGACCCCGCACCCUGUGCAGCUCAGGAGUCAAAGGAUUCCUUUGGUCCAGAAGCCCAAUUUGGGACCCCAGAAAGAUUGGUCGGCUUGUGCUCCUCUCCCCUCCCUCCUUGGGGCUUCCGCUUCCGGUUCUGACGGACGCUUCGGCCGUAACGAUGAUCGGAGACAUCCUGCUGUUCGGGACGUUGCUGAUGAAUGCCGGGGCGGUGCUGAACUUUAAGCUGAAAAAGAAGGACACGCAGGGCUUUGGGGAGGAGUCCAGGGAGCCCAGCACAGGUGACAACAUCCGGGAAUUCUUGCUGAGCCUCAGAUACUUUCGAAUCUUCAUCGCCCUGUGGAACAUCUUCAUGAUGUUCUGCAUGAUCGUGCUAUUCGGCUCUUGAAUCCCAGCGAUGAAACCAGGAACUCACUUUCCCGGGAUGCUGAGUCUCCAUUCCUCCAUUCCUGAUGACUUCAAGAAUGUUUUUGACCAGAAAACCGACAACCUUCCCAGAAAGUCCAAGCUCGUGGUGGGUGGAAAAGUGUUCGCCGAGGUUCCGGGGCUUGCCUUCAGAACUGGAACCUUUGUGUAUCCCCAUCCCUACUUGAAGAUGUGAUUAAAAAAUUGAAGUCUUCUACCUAUCUUUGACAUGUCAAGGGGCUUGCUUCUGACAUGUCUGAUGAGCGCAUUCCUGCUGUUGCUCCUGGCUAUUACAAGGUGUCGCUGUGGAAGACUGUUCCUGUACAGCUGUGUGAACCUGCCUCGUCACGGCUUCCUCUGCAGUGCUCUUGAAUAUCCCGGUUCCUGCUUAGGCCACAGCAGUCAGUCCAGGGAGAAGCAUCCUUCUACUCCCUCACUGUCCAGGUUGGCUGAAGAUGCUCUGCACUUGACCUCCUGACACUAACUUCCUUGCCUUUUCCCAUGGCAAGAGCAAGUCAUGGACUCUGAACUACUUCCUCUCCCUUUCUUCUAUUUAUUUUAUUUUAUUUUAUAUUUGUGAUGGAGUCUCGCUCUGUCACCCAGGCUGGAGUGUGGUGGUGUGAUCUUGGCUCACUGCAACCUCCGCCUCCCAGGUUCAUGCAAUUCUCCUGCCUCUGCCUCCCAAGUAGCUGGGAAUACAGGUGCCCACCACCAUGCCCGGCUAAUUUUUGUAUUCUUAGUAGAGGUGGGGUUUCACCAUGUUGGCCAGGCUGGUCUCUUAACUCCUUACCUCAAAUGAUCCACCCAUCUUGGCCUCCCAAAGUGCUGGGAUUAUAGGUGUGAGCCACUGCACCCAGCCCUUCCUCUCCCUUUCUCUUUGGAGUUCCCCUCACAAACAGGUGAGGCAGCUUUUUCAAGGGCAUUCCAAGCACAAAAGACCUUGUUGUACCUAAAUACUAUAAGGGACCUGUCAUUGAGGACGCACCAUCACAGCAAGAGGAAUUAUCUCGUGCCGCAUCUUCGCAUAACUGACAGGAUCCCUGGCAAGGAUGUCUCAGUGCAGAAAGUUGGCUAAGUGAACUGCAGUAUCUACCCUGGACCUAAAAGAACUUGCUAAUGUUUUCAAGACUACAAUUCAGUGGCUGUCUGAUUUAAUCUUUGCAUUUACAAAAGCACCCUUUUACGUAUAUUAAAUGUGGAAUAAAACUAAAUAUCCGUAUGUGUUUUGUGUA